RNAcentral lists this ribosomal RNA (306 nucleotides) under uncultured bacterium. RNAcentral describes it as "bacterial SSU rRNA". It matches the Rfam family "Bacterial small subunit ribosomal RNA", at positions 28 to 337 of the family's 1533-position model. The record is from RNAcentral.
GACGAACGCUGGCGGCGUGCUUAACACAUGCAAGUCGAGCGGUAAGGCCCUUCGGGGUACACGAGCGGCGAACGGGUGAGUAACACGUGGGUGACCUGCCUCUAGCUCUGGGAUAAGCCUGGGAAACUGGGUCUAAUACCGGAUAUGACUCCACGGCGCAUGUUGUGGGGUGGAAAGCCUUGUGUGGCUAGAGAUGGGCCCGCGGCCUAUCAGCUUGUUGGUGGGGUGAUGGCCUACCAAGGCGACGACGGGUAGCCGGCCUGAGAGGGCGACCGGCCACACUGGGACUGAGACACGGCCCAGACU